This 92-nucleotide non-coding RNA is filed under the name Peptococcaceae bacterium. Its description in RNAcentral is "c-di-GMP sequence". It matches the Rfam family "c-di-GMP-I riboswitch aptamer". Rfam says of the family: GEMM was predicted in a large-scale screen for bacterial structured RNA regulatory elements. Genes associated with GEMM are involved in a diverse array of functions, including chemotaxis regulation, signal transduction, secretion and chitin. The record is from RNAcentral. Lineage: Bacteria; Bacillati; Bacillota; Clostridia; Eubacteriales; Peptococcaceae.
CCAGCGAAAAGGCAAACCCACCGAAAGGCGGGGACGCAAAACUGCGGGUCUAAUGCAGGGGGAAAACCUGCUAUGACAGCCGGGUUGCCGUG